RNAcentral lists this small nuclear RNA (173 nucleotides) under Nicotiana sylvestris (wood tobacco). RNAcentral describes it as "U2 spliceosomal RNA". It matches the Rfam family "U2 spliceosomal RNA". From Rfam's summary of the family: U2 is a small nuclear RNA (snRNA) component of the spliceosome (involved in pre-mRNA splicing). RNAcentral also lists the same sequence under 1 other name. Lineage: Eukaryota; Viridiplantae; Streptophyta; Magnoliopsida; Solanales; Solanaceae. The record is from Rfam by way of RNAcentral.
AUACCUUUCUUGGCCUUUUGGCUAAGAUCAACCGUAGUAUUUGUUCUUAUCAGUUUAAUAUGAGUACUCACACGAUAUUAACUCAAUUUUUUUAGGGAGAGAGUCUACCACAAUAGUGGGCUCUCAAGUAUUGUCUUGGCGUUGCACUAUUGCCUUGGCCUGGCACACCUUGC